RNAcentral lists this long non-coding RNA (685 nucleotides) under Vigna radiata. RNAcentral's name for it is "long non-coding RNA (VRAD_LNC013516)". The record is from RNAcentral. Lineage: Eukaryota; Viridiplantae; Streptophyta; Magnoliopsida; Fabales; Fabaceae.
AAGUUCACACCAAAAGUCAUGGAUGAAAGCAUAAUAUCAAUGAGCAUGGUCUUUACAGAAGGACAAUUCAAAACAUUAGCAAAGUAACAUCAGUUUCACUUUUUACACUGACCCAUGCUUUCCUGUAUAGACCUAGAGUUCUCUUCAUUUGUCCAUGGCAUUUGUAGAGGCGAGCUCACACCUUGCGACAGUGUUGUAUUGACUUUCUUCAAACUUUAGACAUCCUGAAUCGAUCAAAGAUUGCACUUUAUGCUUUAGAGCCUUGCAUACCUCUGUUGAAUGCCCACGCGCUCCUUCAUGAUAAUCACACCUGGCAUUUAUGUCAUAGUUCUUUGGGUAAGGAGGUCGUACAGGCCUAGUGGGACAAACCUUUAUGAGGUUAUUGCGGAGAAGAUCUGGCAGUGACUCCGUAUAGGUCAUGGGGAUAGGAGUGAAAUUGACGACCUUCUCAUUCUGGUUGUGAUUUCUCUGAUUAAUGGUUCGGUUGGAACCAUAGAAUGCGCCAUCUGGGAAUAGGCAGUAAAAUGAAAAUUAUCUAUUCGUUCUUUAUUCUUCUCAUGCCGAGGACCAUACUCAUUCAGACAAGCUACCAGAUUUGGAUCUUGUGCAACUUUUCCAUUUCUUAUGCCACCCUGGAUCCUUUCUCCAAUUAUCACUAUAUCAGCAAAACUCGAGGAGACACCGC